RNAcentral lists this small RNA (183 nucleotides) under Prevotella sp. S7 MS 2. RNAcentral describes it as "Bacteroidales-1 6S-Bacteroidales RNA suggested". It matches the Rfam family "Bacteroidales-1 6S-Bacteroidales RNA suggested". The record is from Rfam by way of RNAcentral. Lineage: Bacteria; Pseudomonadati; Bacteroidota; Bacteroidia; Bacteroidales; Prevotellaceae.
GGUUGUGUCGGUUUGAUCGGGAUACUCAUCAAAUAAUAUCGAAAACCGAGGAUGUUCCUUUUGUUAAUGGCGGGCCACAUAAACUCGUAAGAGGUAAGUCGCAAGACCGGUGGAUUACAAAGACGGAGGACUCUCAAUCAUUGAUUUCUCGGAGUUUCAUCACAUCAUCGGGCAACCCCUUUU